Molecule: small RNA, 77 nt
Filed under: Xanthomonas campestris
Lineage: Bacteria; Pseudomonadati; Pseudomonadota; Gammaproteobacteria; Lysobacterales; Lysobacteraceae
Also listed under: 3 other names
Description: sX9 sRNA
Rfam family: Xanthomonas sRNA sX9
Source: RNAcentral
AUGUACCCCCCCGAACACCCCGGUUCCUGUGCGCCGUCCGCAACCACCUGCCGAUUGCUCGCUACGCGUUGUUAGUC